GUAGGGUGCAAGCGUUAAUCGGAAUUACUGGGCGUAAAGCGUGCGCAGGCGGUUUUGUAAGUCUGUCGUGAAAGCCCCGGGCUCAACCUGGGAAUUGCGAUGGAGACUGCAAGGCUUGAAUCUGGCAGAGGGGGGUAGAAUUCCACGUGUAGCAGUGAAAUGCGUAGAGAUGUGGAGGAACACCGAUGGCGAAGGCAGCCCCCUGGGUCAAGAUUGACGCUCAUGCACGAAAGCGUGGGGGGAGCAAACAGGAUUAGAUACCCUGGUAGUCCACGCCCCUAAACCGAUGUCUACUAGUUGUCGGGUUUUAAUUAACCUUGGUAACGCAGCUAACGCGUGAAGUAGACCGCCUGGGGAGUACGGUCGCAAGAUUA
Molecule: ribosomal RNA, 374 nt
Filed under: uncultured organism
Description: partial 16S ribosomal RNA
Rfam family: Bacterial small subunit ribosomal RNA
Source: RNAcentral